GAUUUGGGGUGAGGAUGGAGGUUGGGGUUGGUGAAUAGCAAUAACAGAGCUCUCUGGUCCUUAUUACUCCCUUGACCUGGCAGAGACCACAUUAGCCCUGCUUUUGUCGUAAGUGGGUGACUAAAAACUAAUAUAUCUUUUUAAAAUCAUGCUUUAUAUUCCUAGUUAAAUUACUUACUUUUCUUCACAUCUUUGUUUCAAAAUGGAAAGUAUAAAAGAUGUUAGGUUAUUUAUUUCAUGGCUUUUCCUAUCUUCUUGACCCGAUGCCUUAUACCCCAGGUGAUGGAAUAUAGUAUGAGUAUUUAUUUGUUUGAGGAGUACAAAUUAGAAUGACAUGUUGUACUACUCUGGUUUCUUUAAAGUUGUAGUGGUUAGUAGGGAGUUUUUUUCAACAGGAAAUA
RNAcentral lists this long non-coding RNA (401 nucleotides) under Homo sapiens (human). RNAcentral's name for it is "non-protein coding lnc-HAX1-3:1". Lineage: Eukaryota; Metazoa; Chordata; Mammalia; Primates; Hominidae. The record is from RNAcentral.